Molecule: long non-coding RNA, 2369 nt
Filed under: Sus scrofa (pig)
Lineage: Eukaryota; Metazoa; Chordata; Mammalia; Artiodactyla; Suidae
Description: lncRNA (ENSSSCG00000041916.1)
Source: RNAcentral
UACAUGGAAGUUCCCAGGCUAGGGGUCGAAUGGGAGCUGGAGCUGCCAGCCUACACCACAGCCACAGCAACUUGGGAUCUGAGUCUCAUCUUCGACCUACACCACAGCUCGUGGCAACGCCGGAUCCUUAGCUCACUGAUCGAGGCCAGGGAUCAAACCUGCAUCCCCAUGGUUCCUAGUCGGGGGUCAUUAACCACUGAGCCACAAAGGGAACUCCUAUUAUGAGAGUUGAAUUAAGGGGGAGAAUGUAUGUGAAAGCCCUUGGUAAGCAAUGGAGUCUUUUUAUUCCAUGCACAUGGCAAGCAGUACAACACUUGGCCAACCAGGGAAGCAUAAUUUCCCUUUCACAGCUCUUCCUAGAAAAAUAGUUAUUUGUAACAGCCACUUCAGAACUCCCUCCAGCAGGGUUUCUCUUUUCUGCUGCCGGUGAAGAAGCUCUGAGCUGAAUUUGGGACUCACCUGCACUAAGGUUGGGGACUCUGGCAUUUCUUCCUACUCUUUCCAGACUCAUUUGGUUUGAUUGAUUUUUCUUUUAUUUACAUGGCCUUCUGCCUUUUUUUUUGCCUUUUUUUUUUUUUUUUUUUUUUUUUUUGCUUUUUUAAGGCUGCACCUGUGGCAUAUGGAAGGUCCUAGGCUGGGGGUUCAAUCGGAGCUACAGCUACCGGCCUACACCACAGCCACAGCAACAUGGGAUAUGAGCCGGAUCUGGGACCUACACCACAGCUCAUGGUACUGCCAGAUCUGAGAGAGGUCAGGGUUUGAACUUGCAUCCUCAUGGAUACUGGUGGGAUUCUUUAGCUCUGAGCCAGGAUGGGAACUCCCUACACUGUGUUCCAUUUUAUGUGUCUUUGGCUUAAAUUCCUUUUGGGGACCUAGCAGGGUAAAGUACAUACUGUAUACAUGAAAAAAAAACUGGUCAUUUUACAAGCAUUUUGUGUGUGUGUGUGUCGGGAGUCUAAAUCACAGCUCACUGGCAACCCCAGAUCCUUAACCCACUGGGCGAGGUCAGUAAUUGAACGCGCAUCCUCAUGGAUGCUAGUUGGGUUCGUUUCUGCUGAGCCACAAGAGAACUCCUUUGCAAUCCUUUUUUCUUUUCUAGGGCCGCACCCAUGGUAUAUGGAGGUUCCCAGGCUAGGGGUCGAAUCCGAGCUGUAGCCGCCGGCGGGGCCACAGCAACGUGGGAUCCCGGCCGCAUCUGUGAUCCUACACCGCAGCUCACCGAGCGCCGGAUCCUUAACCGGCUAAACGGGGCCAGGAUCGAUCCCGCAACCUCAUGGUUCCUUCUCGGAUUUGUUAACCACUGAGCCACGACGGGAACUCCUCUUUCGCAAUCAUGUUGAAUGCCAAUGUUCUGUUUGCGACUUAAGCUGGGGCGUUGUGAAAUACAAUACAGUUGAGAUGAACCACAGGAAGCUUCCCAGCACCAAACACGGGGUUUGAAAAGGGUUCGGCGAGUGCUAAUUUCAUUUGAAAUUCAUCAGACCCCUCCAUACUCAGAGGCAUUAAGUAGCUGUAUAGGUCUGCUACCGGGAUUCAACCCGCUUCAACCCGCUUUCCUCCCGGCGUCUUUUGCUAGAACAGUGGAGCAAGAGUGCCGGUGGCGGAGUAGCAUGUAGGCAGGGCAAAGACCGAGCUUGCAGAACCCGCUCGUAAACUGCGGGGGAGACAGUGGGGUUCCUGGACAAGGGGAGACAUUUUCAAACGGAAAGAAAGCGAUGGGCACAGGGGUUUUGUUGUUCUUUAAGGCAUAGAGGGAACUCCACUUACCUACCGAGAAGGAGAAGUGGAGUGGUCCCAGACAGACUGGGGGAUGGGGAGGGAAGCGAGCGAGCAAGAUUGCAGCCCUCCGGCAGGGUGCGCUCCGCGAUCAAAGCGCGUUGCCUGCACCGGCUCCCACCGCCCUGAGUGGUGACCAGGGCGGGAGAAGGGAAGCGCGGUGCAACCGGCACCGGUCCUUCGACGAAAGGCCGCUUGCAUCAACUCGGACGCCCAUCGAGGUGGAGUUUUGCCGGCUCGGGGGCGCCACUCGUCCGGGGCUUCCGAGUCACUCAGACGCAGUUCAAAUUCCAGUUCUUUGAUCGCCCCACUUUGUCUCAGCUUCCCUGUCCUAAAAGUAAGGCUAAUAACGGUACCAGUCAGUUGUGACUAAUAAAUGGCACAAAGUAAACAAAGCGUUUAGCCCCAAGCUCGUACCCAGUGCCGUAAGCCGGGACUGUGGUCAUUACUGUCACCUUUUCGGCCUCUCCAGGGCGUGGUGACCCGUGGCGGUUCGGCCUCUCCAGGGCGUGGUGACCCGUGGCGGUUCGGUUCGUGGCGGUGAGGUUCAAUCAGCGCCAAACGACGACAAGGUUGCAAAGACCGACAGCGCC